This 253-nucleotide ribosomal RNA is filed under the name uncultured prokaryote. RNAcentral describes it as "partial 16S ribosomal RNA". It matches the Rfam family "Bacterial small subunit ribosomal RNA", at positions 524 to 776 of the family's 1533-position model. The record is from RNAcentral.
GACGUAGGGCGCGAGCGUUGUCCGGAUUUAUUGGGCGUAAAGAGCUCGUAGGCGGCUUGUCGCGUCGAAUGUGAAAACCUGCAGCUCAACUGCAGGCUUGCAUUCGAUACGGGCAGGCUCGAGUUCGGUAGGGGAGACUGGAAUUCCUGGUGUAGCGGUGAAAUGCGCAGAUAUCAGGAGGAACACCGGUGGCGAAGGCGGGUCACUGGACCACAACUGACGCUGAGGCGCGAAAGCUAGGGGAGCAAACAGG